GACGAAGGGGGCGAGCGUUGUUCGGAAUCACUGGGCAUAAAGCGCACGUAGGCGGUGCCGUAAGUCGGAUGUGAAAUCCCUCGGCCUAACCGAGGAACUGCGUCCGAUACUGCGGUGCUUGAGGAUCAGAGGGGUGCAUGGAAUUUCCGGUGGAGCGGUGAAAUGCGUUGAUAUCGGAAGGAACUCCGGCGGCGAAAGCGAUGCACUGGCUGAUUUCUGACGCUGAGGUGCGAAAGCCAGGGGAGCAAACGGG
This 253-nucleotide ribosomal RNA is filed under the name uncultured bacterium. RNAcentral describes it as "partial 16S ribosomal RNA". It matches the Rfam family "Bacterial small subunit ribosomal RNA", at positions 524 to 776 of the family's 1533-position model. The record is from RNAcentral.